This 520-nucleotide ribosomal RNA is filed under the name uncultured bacterium. Its description in RNAcentral is "partial 16S ribosomal RNA". It matches the Rfam family "Bacterial small subunit ribosomal RNA", at positions 29 to 506 of the family's 1533-position model. The record is from RNAcentral.
AUGAACGCUGGCGGCGUGCCUAAUACAUGCAAGUCGAACGCUUUGUCUUUAAUUGAUAUGAAGAGCUUGCUCUGAUUUGAUUUUAUCUGACAAAGAGUGGCGAACGGGUGAGUAACACGUGGGUAACCUACCUCUUAGCAGGGGAUAACAUUUGGAAACAAGUGCUAAUACCGUAUAACACUAACAACCGCAUGGUUGUUAGUUGAAAGAUGGUUCUGCUAUCACUAAGAGAUGGACCCGCGGUGCAUUAGCUAGUUGGUAAGGUAAUGGCUUACCAAGGCGAUGAUGCGUAGCCGAGUUGAGAGACUGAUCGGCCACAAUGGGACUGAGACACGGCCCAUACUCCUACGGGAGGCAGCAGUAGGGAAUCUUCCACAAUGGGCGCAAGCCUGAUGGAGCAACGCCGCGUGUGUGAUGAAGGGUUUCGGCUCGUAAAACACUGUUAUAAGAGAAGAACGACAUUGAGAGUAACUGUUCAGUGUGUGACGGUAUCUUAUCAGAAAGGAACGGCUAAAUACGU